This is a long non-coding RNA of Sorex araneus (European shrew), 4484 nucleotides long. RefSeq lists it as uncharacterized. NCBI's taxonomy places the organism in Eukaryota, Metazoa, Chordata, Mammalia, Eulipotyphla, Soricidae. The record is from RefSeq and is a predicted model, not a curated record. The transcript is spliced from 5 exons.
GACAGAUCCCGUUUUGCGCCAUCUCCCUGAAGCUGUCUCCAGAACAACGCUCCGUGGAACAGGGGACAGGACAGGUGACCCGGUGAGCCGUAAGCCCCGUCUUGCAGGGGGUUUGCCAAGCUGCCUGCACUCUCUCCCUGAAGACAGACACCUGCCAGAUUGCACCUGAGUCCCUCCGGCCCCGCGGCCCCAGCGAAGCGAGGCGCUGGCCUGCAGAAAAGCCAUUCCGGGGCCGCCUGUGCUGGGCCGCCCUCCCUGGGGAGAGCCCCGCGUCCCAGCGCGGCUUGCGGGGACACGUGAGCCAGCCAGGAGUUCCUCUCCUGCAGGGUUACCCACUUGGAAAGCUCCAGCCCUCAGCACCGCUCAGGGUGGAGAAGAGGCACCAGGCAGAAAUAAAAUGUUAGGCACACUCCUAGGAACUUCUCCUGGACGCCCCUCUCUACCCUCCCCUCAACACCAACCUCUCUCUCAAGACCAAGCAGGAAAAAAAAGAAGGAAAGAUCUCACAGAGCAGAAGGCACUUCCGCCUGAACAUUCAUGAGUGGUCCAGCAACUGAUAAGGAGAAGAGAUAGCAAGGCUGACAUCACCCGAGUCUUUCAGAGAAACGGUGACCUUCACAGCUGUACAUUCCUAGUCAGUGACUGAAUAUUAUGGGAAAGACAAGGGUACAGAGGGAGACUUGUACCUUCACUGCAUACUCCACAGACUCAUUCUUUCUCUGCUUCUCAGAGUACAAACAAUAUUUGCAAAGGCAACAUGGUAAAGAAAAUGUAUGAGAUAAAUAAAAUGUAUGCAUAUGAUGAAAGAUGAUUGAAAAACACUGUGAUUGUCUUCUUACCUAUGGUUUAAACAAUGUAUGAUAUGACCUCAACUUUCAUUAAUCUCAAAUCCUAGCUUUUUUUUCUCCGAAUAUAUAUUGCUUAUCUGAAAAUAUACCAUUUAAAAAAAUUUCUAGAUAAUUGCUCCCAUUUGGACAUCUCUAAAGAUAACUGAUAGUUUUGGAGUUAUAAAACUUCAAAUUUAGGAGCUGGAGCGAUAGCACAGCGGGUAAGACAUUUGCCUUGUACUCGGCCUACCCGGGUUUGAUUCCCAGCAUCCCAUAUGUCCCCCGAGCACUGCCAGGAGUAAUUCCUGAGUGCAUGAGCCAGAAGUAACUCCUGUGCAUCGCUGGGUGUGACCCAAGAAGCAAAAUAAAAUAAUCUUCAAAGUCUAGAACUGGACAUAGGGGCCCAUGGGAAAGCCCAUGUUGCAUAUAAAUGAAGCUAGUAUUUGAUUCCUAGCAUUACCAAGAAAAAGAAAGAAGAAACGUUAGGUCACAUAAUAUUUCUGUGUAUUUUUCUACUUUUUAAUUUCACAUUCUUAUUUAGUUUAAGAUAAAAAUGACUCCAUGUUUUAAUUACUGUCUAAUGCCUAGGCUAUAAUUGAUAGGAGUCAAUUCCAGCAUUAUACAGAAAACAACACUUCCAUAAUCAAAGGCUAUAUUUCAAAGUUUCACAUAUUUGGCAAAAUUUUGGAUAAAUAUUUAGCAGAAAAUAACCUCACAAACAUAUUUAGUGUUCAAGUUGACAGAAUAUAACUAAAACUGGAAUAAUUCACAAAAACACUGCCAUGGCCCCAAUAAAAGAAAAGAAAAGAAACUUGCAAAUGUAUGAUUGUUGCAAAAUUAUAACAUCAAAUAGAAUUUUUAAUAUAUUGAAUGAUAUGCCAUAAAAGGUGAAGGGACAGGGAUUUAUAUAGUUUUUAAAUAUUUUUAUUUAAAUUAUGGUUGUAAACUAAAAUGUUAGGUAUGUAUACUACAACCAUUCAUAAAGAAUCAACUAUAAAAGUUGUAUAAAGAGGCAUAGUAAAAAGCAUAUCAGUAAAAUAAAAUGUAAUAGCAAGAGCUAUUCAGAUAUCUUUAAAGGAAUGAUGGGGAGAAAGAGAAAACAGAAGAUCAAUAAUAAAAUGGAUCUACUAAUGCCAAGCAUAUAUGUACUUACACUAAAUGUAAAUUCUCUAAAGUCAUAAACUAAAUUAAUGCUUUAGUAGAAGAUUGUUGGAUUGGAUUAAAAAUAAAAUAAAUACUACCCAAGCAUAUCUAUUAUAGAGCAUCACUUCAGCAUAAUGAACCUUGUAGAUAAAUUAAAAGAAAAAAAGCACAAUUCAGGGCUGGAGCAAUAGCACAGCAGGUAGGGCGUUUGCCUUGCACGCGGUCGGCCCGGGUUCGAUUCCCAGCAUCCCGUAUGGUCCCCUGAGCACCAGCAGGAGUGAUUCCUGAGUGCAGAGCCAGGAGUAACCCCUGUGCAUGGACAGGUGUGACCCAAAAAGCAAAGAAAAAAAAAGAAAGAAAAAAAGCACAAUCCAAUGUCUGCAUACACCUAAUAAUAGAGUUUCAAAAUAUAUAAAAUAAAAACUGACCAAACUAAAAGGAGGAAAAUAAAUCUGAAAAGAGAAAGAGCAAAUAUACCUGGAGCUUUCACCAAAUUAGGCUCUAUUCUAGGUCACAAAACAAACAAAUUUUACCAUAAUCUAAUCAAUUUAAUUAAGUAAAAAUAAUUCUAGAAAUUCUCUAAGUAUUGAGUAGCUAUACAACAUUUUUGUGUAGCUUAAAAGUUUUUUAGCCAACAGGGGGCCGGAGCGAUAGCACAGCGGGUAGGGCGUCUGCCUUGCACGCGGCCGACCCGGGUUCGAUCCCCGGCAUCCCAUAUGGUCCCCCAAGCACUGCCAGGAGUAAUUCCUGAGUGCAAAGCCAGGAGUAACCCCUGAGCAUCGCUGGGUAUUCCAAAAAGGAAAAAUUAAUAAAUAAAAAUAAACAAACAAAAAAAAGUUUUUUAGCCAACAACAAAGUCUUUAGGAUAAUUAAGGAAUAGUUUAACUGUACACAAAUGAAUUUACAGCAUAGUAACAUUUGUGACAUACCUAAAAAUAAUGUUUUAUGUGAAAUGUUCUUUUUAGAAUAUAUUAAAAGUAUUAAAUAUUCUAAGUUUAUACAAAGCUAAAAAGCAAUAGCUAACACAUAGCAAAAAGAAAUAAAAUAAAUGUAGGAAGACAAAUGAAGAAUUUGAUAAAAGAUAAAACAGUGAAGAAAAAUCAAUGAAUCAAAAACAAGGAUUCUUAGAAAAAUUAAAUAAAAUUAUAAACUUCCAGCUAUAAUUACCCCCCAAAUAAAAUAAAUUAUAUUAAUAUCAAAUAUUAAAGGUCAAAUUCCACAGACAAGAAGACAAUAAAUAUAAGUAAGCUGAAUAACUAUAAGUAAUUCUCUCCAUAAAGAUAAGAAAUUUAAAUGAAAGGAAUCUAAUCUAUAAAUAUGCUAUCCAAAAGAAGAAUAUAUAACCUGACUUUAGAGUUGAGGAGUAAAGUAUUUAUAUCAGAUUUUAUAAGGAAUUUUAUCAAUAGAAAAUAGAAUAAAAGAAAUCAACUAAAAAUAUAUAUAUAUGAACAGAAUCUUCAUGUAAAAGGCAUACAAGAAGCAAAUAAUUACAUGAAAAAACUAUUAUUCAGUGGGAAAAUGCCAAUUUAAAAAGAACACUACACCUAUGAAAAUAAUUAAAAUAUAUAUAUACAUAUGAUAGUACCACGUAUCAGCAAGAAUGUGCACCUGGAACCCUCACAUAUUAUUGUAGGAAUGAAAAAUUGCAGAUUUUUAAAGACUGCCUAGUAGUUUCACAUAAAGUGCAAAUUAUACAUACAUAUGACUCAACUACCAUUUAUCACAUUUAAUUUCCUAUAGAAAUGGAAAUGUAAGUUCUUACCAAAACUGUACUUUAACAUAACAACAUGAUUUAUAAUUGACCCAAAACUAAAAUAAUCCAAGGUCCCCCAGUGGGAAGAUGAAUGGUAUAUGAUUGAAAAAGAAAUGAAUUAUUAACAGGUGCAAAACAUAUAUGAAUCACAAAUUAACUAUAUUUAGUAAAAGAAGCCAGUAUCAAAAUGUCACAUAUUGUGCCAUUUAUCUGACAUUCUAGAAAGGCAAAGUUAAAGAGAUAGAGUAAAUCAGUGACUGUCAUUUAUUAAGGGAGAGUCACUUAUUAAGAGGGGUAGUUUAUUUACUAAGAAAUAAACACUUUAUUAGUAUUAAGCACAAAUAGACUUUUUCAGAUGAUGGAGUUAUUUGUGUUUCCUUUAUGGUGGUAAUUGCAAACAUUUUGCAUAUGCUAAAAUAUAUAAAACUGUAUACCAAAAAAGCAAUUUUCUGUAUGCGAUUUUUAAAAUCAUCAAAAUCUUAAAACUGUUUUAAGUAUGUAAAUCCACCAGGUUCUUUUCUUACAUCUUUCAACAUACUGUUUCAGAAUUUUAACAUCACAUUUUGCCUUACCAUUGACUUUAUUUUUUUUUAAUUUUUUUUUAAAUUUUUUAUUGUGGAAAGUUACAAAGUUACAAAGUUUUCAGGUUUAAAUCUCAGUUAUACAAUGCUCGAAUACCCAUCCCUUCACCAGUGCUCAUAUUUCACCACCAAGAAUCCCAGUAUAGCUCCACCCCGCCCCCUCACACCCCAAACCCCCCA